GACGAACGCUGGCGGCGUGCUUAACACAUGCAAGUCGAACGAAGCACUUUACUUAGAUUUCUUCGGGAUGAAGAGUUUUGUGACUGAGCGGCGGACGGGUGAGUAACGCGUGGGUAACCUGCCUCAUACAGGGGGGUAACAGUUAGAAAUGACUGCUAAUACCGCAUAAGACCACAGCACCGCAUGGUGCAGGGGUAAAAACUCCGGUGGUAUGAGAUGGACCCGCGUCUGAUUAGCUGGUUGGUGGGGUAACGGCCUACCAAGGCAACGAUCAGUAGGCGGCCUGAGAGGGCGACCGGCCACAUUGGGACUGAGACACGGCCCAAACUCCUACGGGAGGCAGCAGUGGGGAAUAUUGCACAAUGGGGGAAACCCUGAUGCAGCGACGCCGCGUGAAGGAAGAAGUAUUUCGGUAUGUAAACUUCUAUCAGCAGGGAAGAAAAUGACGGUACCUGACUAAGAAGCCCCGGCUAACUACGUGCCAGCCGCCGCCGUAA
Molecule: ribosomal RNA, 497 nt
Filed under: uncultured bacterium
Lineage: Bacteria
Description: partial 16S ribosomal RNA
Rfam family: Bacterial small subunit ribosomal RNA
Source: RNAcentral